GACGAACGCUGGCGGCGUGCCUAAUACAUGCAAGUAGAACGCUGAAGGAGGAGCUUGCUCUUCUGGAUGAGUUGCGAACGGGUGAGUAACGCGUAGGUAACCUGCCUGGUAGUGGGGGAUAACUAUUGGAAACGAUAGCUAAUACCGCAUAAUAACAGUUGUUGCAUGACAACUGUUUGAAAGGUGCAAUUGCAUCACUACCAGAUGGACCUGCGUUGUAUUAGCUAGUUGGUGGGGUAACGGCUCACCAAGGCGACGAUACAUAGCCGACCUGAGAGGGUGAUCGGCCACACUGGGACUGAGACACGGCCCAGACUCCUACGGGAGGCAGCAGUAGGGAAUCUUCGGUAAUGGACGAAAGUCUGACCGAGCAACGCCGCGUGAGUGAAGAAGGUUUUCGGAUCGUAAAGCUCUGUUGUAAGAGAAGAACGAGUGUGAGAGUGG
This 444-nucleotide ribosomal RNA is filed under the name Streptococcus sp. oral taxon C56. RNAcentral's name for it is "bacterial SSU rRNA". It matches the Rfam family "Bacterial small subunit ribosomal RNA", at positions 28 to 464 of the family's 1533-position model. Lineage: Bacteria; Bacillati; Bacillota; Bacilli; Lactobacillales; Streptococcaceae. The record is from RNAcentral.